RNAcentral lists this ribosomal RNA (763 nucleotides) under uncultured Methanocalculus sp. Its description in RNAcentral is "bacterial SSU rRNA". It matches the Rfam family "Archaeal small subunit ribosomal RNA", at positions 102 to 859 of the family's 1478-position model. Lineage: Archaea; Methanobacteriati; Methanobacteriota; Methanomicrobia; Methanomicrobiales; Methanocalculaceae. The record is from RNAcentral.
GGAUAAUCUGCCCUCAGGUGAGGAAUAAUCCCGGGAAACUGGGGCUAAUGCCUCAUAGGAGACGGGUGCUGGAAUGCUCUGUCUCCGAAAGGUCCGCCGCCUGAGGAUGAGUCUGCGUCCGAUUAGGUUGUUGUUGGGGUAACGGCCCAACAAGCCUUUGAUCGGUACGGGUUGUGGGAGCAAGAGCCCGGAGAUGGAUUCUGAGACAUGAAUCCAGGCCCUACGGGGCGCAGCAGGCGCGAAAACUUUACAAUGCGAGCAAUCGUGAUAAGGAAACCCUGAGUGCCUGUCAAUGCAGGCUGUUCUGGUGUCUAACACACACCAGGAGAAAGGGCGGGGCAAGACCGGUGCCAGCCGCCGCGGUAAUACCGGCUGCUCGAGUGAUAGCCACUUUUACUGGGCUUAAAGCGUUCGUAGCUUGGUCGUUAAGUCUCUGGGGAAAUCUUUUGGCUCAACCAAAAGGCGUCUCAGGGAAACUGACGAUCUUGGAACCGGGAGAGGUAAGACGUACUUCGGGGGUAGGAGUGAAAUCUUGUAAUCCCCGAGGGACGACCGAUGGCGAAGGCAUCUUACCAGAACGGCUUCGACAGUGAGGGACGAAAGCUGGGGGAGCAAACCGGAUUAGAUACCCGGGUAGUCCCAGCCGUAAACGAUGUGCGUUAAGGGUUGUCAGUGACCCCGAGUCCCUGAAGGGUCCCAAAGGGAAACCCUGUGAAACCCCACCGCCCUGGGGAAGUACCGGUCCGCAAGGCUUGAAACUUAA